UCAGGCUUUAAAAGCUGGACCAUGUGUUUGCUGCCGUCUCUUCUCAGUUGGUGUGACAUCAGCUUUCUUUGGUGGGGUUGGUGGUUUAGUUUAGAAUUGAUUCUGGUUUGUUUCAAUUAAGCUCUGGUGUGUCUGGUAUCGCCACUUGUGUCUUCAAUUUAUUCAAGAAAGUUUCAAGUCCUAAAUAGACAGAUUAUGGGGGCCCUCGACGCCAUCACAAGAUGGUGCCUCUGCAUACCAUCGUGACCAAACAUAUCAGCACUAGUAGGAAGAUAAAUCCUUCGCAGGGAGCCCAGAGGGUUAACCCAUGGCCUCUCCCGGAACCUUUAAAUGGUGUCUGGACCCCCGGGAAAACAUCUGCCCAAACACCCAGGAGAGGACACAGGAAAGAAAGACAACCACCACACUACUUUUUGAGGAGCAGCUGUGCAGGACCUGGAACAAAGGCUACCAACUGAUUUUAAAAUGCUCAAUAAAUAUUUAAACUAAUCGUGUGCAAAUGUUCUUCAUGUGCAAAUCUAUGCUAAAUAAAGUUCUGGAUAAGGUGCUUUUAAUAAAGUGAAAGGUGCUCCUAAAGUGCUAGACAAAUUAUAAAUAGUACGAGACAGACUACAGAUGUCCACGAAUAAGCUCCCUCGACUCCGUAACUAAAGAACUGGCAUCAGAUGGAGAUCAACUAAAAGCUAGUAUGAUGCAAUAAGAGAUCUGCUGAAAGAGCUGCAAUGCACUGAAAAAGAAGUCUCGAAGCUGAAGACUGAGAUAGGAGA
Oreochromis niloticus (Nile tilapia) is the source of this 767-nucleotide long non-coding RNA. RefSeq lists it as uncharacterized. NCBI's taxonomy places the organism in Eukaryota, Metazoa, Chordata, Actinopteri, Cichliformes, Cichlidae. The transcript is spliced from 4 exons. The record is from RefSeq and is a predicted model, not a curated record.